AUUGGACGCUGGCGGCAUGCCUUACACAUGCAAGUCGAACGGCAGCACGGGUGCUUGCACCUGGUGGCGAGUGGCGAACGGGUGAGUAAUACAUCGGAACAUGUCCUGUAGUGGGGGAUAGCCCGGCGAAAGCCGGAUUAAUACCGCAUACGAUCUACGGAUGAAAGCGGGGGACCUUCGGGCCUCGCGCUAUAGGGUUGGCCGAUGGCUGAUUAGCUAGUUGGUGGGGUAAAGGCCUACCAAGGCGACGAUCAGUAGCUGGUCUGAGAGGACGACCAGCCACACUGGAACUGAGACACGGCCCAGACUCCUACGGGAGGCAGCAGUGGGGAAUUUUGGACAAUGGGCGAAAGCCUGAUCCAGCAAUGCCGCGUGUGUGAAGAAGGCCUUCGGGUUGUAAAGCACUUUUGUCCGGAAAGAAAUCCUUGGCCCUAAUACGGUCGGGGGAUGACGGUACCGGAAGAAUAAGCACCGGCUAACUACGUG
This 486-nucleotide ribosomal RNA is filed under the name uncultured bacterium. RNAcentral describes it as "partial 16S ribosomal RNA". It matches the Rfam family "Bacterial small subunit ribosomal RNA", at positions 30 to 507 of the family's 1533-position model. The record is from RNAcentral.